This 29-nucleotide non-coding RNA is filed under the name Mus musculus (house mouse). The record is from RNAcentral. Lineage: Eukaryota; Metazoa; Chordata; Mammalia; Rodentia; Muridae.
UNCAAAAGGGCCUAGAUUUGGUCUCCGGC